This is a long non-coding RNA of Rana temporaria (common frog), 149 nucleotides long. RefSeq lists it as uncharacterized. The transcript has 2 exons. Lineage: Eukaryota; Metazoa; Chordata; Amphibia; Anura; Ranidae. The record is from RefSeq and is a predicted model, not a curated record.
GGCCUAGUCUGAAAGGAAAGCAUGGCAUGGUGGAGAUACUCUGUAUUCUCCUGGAUGGAUUCUCCUGGAUUAAAGAUGGGCCGCUGUCAAAGCACCUGACCAAGACUGACAACUGGUGAAUGGAAAACCGGAAUAAGCACUUGGAAGAA